AGACUUAAUCUCAGCCCAUUGGCUUAAUCAAAUUAAGCCAAUUAGCAUUCGAAUUGCUAAUCGAUCCUCCUGCAACACUUGUACUGGGUUAAAUGUCAAUCGUACUGAUCAUUUAACCCUAGAACGAUUCUUAAUCAUUGAUCAACCAUCCGAUCGGAUCAUGAACUCUAAUGUGUGUGACCUCAUAGGUCCGAACCUAAGCUGGUAGUAUAAGAAUAAAUUUCUGUACCAAUCGAAGUGACCAUCUAGCAAUGGUACCCGACGACCGGAUAGGUCGAUUAUGUAGAACAACAUCCUUAGAACCCAUGCGGAUAUAGUUUUCAUAUAAUUCAUCCCCUUGACCAAAAUGAUCAUAGGACACCCCAAAGUUCAACUGUCA
RNAcentral lists this long non-coding RNA (379 nucleotides) under Elaeis guineensis (African oil palm). Its description in RNAcentral is "long non-coding RNA (EGUI_LNC069243)". Lineage: Eukaryota; Viridiplantae; Streptophyta; Magnoliopsida; Arecales; Arecaceae. The record is from RNAcentral.